GACUGGCGGGUGCCUAUACAUGCAAGUUGAGCGCUGAAGGUUGGUACUUGUACCGACUGGAUGAGCAGCGAACGGGUGAGUAACGCGUGGGGAAUCUGCCUUUGAGCGGGGGACAACAUUUGGAAACGAAUGCUAAUACCGCAUAAAAACUUUAAACACAAGUUUUAAGUUUGAAAGAUGCAAUUGCAUCACUCAAAGAUGAUCCCGCGUUGUAUUAGCUAGUUGGUGAGGUAAAGGCUCACCAAGGCGAUGAUACAUAGCCGACCUGAGAGGGUGAUCGGCCACAUUGGGACUGAGACACGGCCCAAACUCCUACGGGAGGCAGCAGUAGGGAAUCUUCGGCAAUGGACGAAAGUCUGACCGAGCAACGCCGCGUGAGUGAAGAAGGUUUUCGGAUCGUAAAACUCUGUUGGUAGAGAAGAACGUUGGUGAGAGUGGAAAGCUCAUCAAGUGACGGUAACUACCCAGAAAGGGACGGCUAACUACGUGCCAGCAGCCGCGGUAAUACGUAGGUCCCGAGCGUUGUCCGGAUUUAUUGGGCGUAAAGCGAGCGCAGGUGGUUUAUUAAGUCUGGUGUAAAAGGCAGUGGCUCAACCAUUGUAUGCAUUGGAAACUGGUAGACUUGAGUGCAGGAGAGGAGAGUGGAAUUCCAUGUGUAGCGGUGAAAUGCGUAGAUAUAUGGAGGAACACCGGUGGCGAAAGCGGCUCUCUGGCCUGUAACUGACACUGAGGCUCGAAAGCGUGGGGAGCAAACAGGAUUAG
This 762-nucleotide ribosomal RNA is filed under the name Lactococcus lactis subsp. lactis. RNAcentral's name for it is "bacterial SSU rRNA". It matches the Rfam family "Bacterial small subunit ribosomal RNA", at positions 35 to 781 of the family's 1533-position model. Lineage: Bacteria; Bacillati; Bacillota; Bacilli; Lactobacillales; Streptococcaceae. The record is from RNAcentral.